CGAACGCUGGCGGCGUGCCUAAUACAUGCAAGUAGAACGCUGAAGGAGGAGCUUGCUCUUCUGGAUGAGUUGCGAACGGGUGAGUAACGCGUAGGUAACCUGCCUGGUAGCGGGGGAUAACUAUUGGAAACGAUAGCUAAUACCGCAUAACAGUAGAUGUUGCAUGACAUUUGCUUAAAAGGUGCAAUUGCACCACUACCAGAUGGACCUGCGUUGUAUUAGCUAGUUGGUGGGGUAACGGCUCACCAAGGCGACGAUACAUAGCCGACCUGAGAGGGUGAUCGGCCACACUGGGACUGAGACACGGCCCAGACUCCUACGGGAGGCAGCAGUAGGGAAUCUUCGGCAAUGGACGGAAGUCUGACCGAGCAACGCCGCGUGAGUGAAGAAGGUUUUCGGAUCGUAAAGCUCUGUUGUAAGAGAAGAACGAGUGUGAGAGUGGAAAGUUCACACUGUGACGGUAUCUUACCAGAAAGGGACGGCUAACUACGUG
This 493-nucleotide ribosomal RNA is filed under the name uncultured bacterium. Its description in RNAcentral is "partial 16S ribosomal RNA". It matches the Rfam family "Bacterial small subunit ribosomal RNA", at positions 30 to 507 of the family's 1533-position model. The record is from RNAcentral.